This 453-nucleotide ribosomal RNA is filed under the name uncultured bacterium. Its description in RNAcentral is "SSU rRNA". It matches the Rfam family "Bacterial small subunit ribosomal RNA", at positions 26 to 523 of the family's 1533-position model. The record is from RNAcentral.
AGGACGAACGCUGGCGGUGUGCUUCACACAUGCAAGUCGAACGGAGUAGCAAUACUCAGUGGCGGACGGGUGAGUAACACGUGGGAAUCUGCCUUUAGAUGGGGGAUAGCAGACCGAAAGGUCUAUUAAUACCGCAUAUGCCGAGAGGUGAAAGUAGCAAUACGUCUGAAGAUGAGCCCGCGCCCGAUUAGCUAGUUGGUAAGGUAAAAGCUUACCAAGGCUACGAUCGGUAGCUGGUCUGAGAGGAUGAUCAGCCACAAUGGAACUGAGACACGGUCCAUACUCCUACGAGAGGCAGCAGUGGGGAAUUUUACACAAUGGGCGAAAGCCUGAUGUAGCGACACCGCGUGAGCGAAGAAGCCUUUGGGUGUAAAGCUCUGUCAGCAGGGACGAAAAAAAUGACGGUACCUGCAGAGGAAGCAUCGGCUAACUACGCGCCAGCAGCCGCGGUAA